UUCGACUAAGGUUCGACUUGAGCGCCAGCGAGAGAGCGUUGCCGCAGGCAACGACCCGAAGGGCGAAGCGCGCAGCGCUGAGUAAUCCUUCCCCCACCACCA
Molecule: small RNA, 102 nt
Filed under: Escherichia coli
Lineage: Bacteria; Pseudomonadati; Pseudomonadota; Gammaproteobacteria; Enterobacterales; Enterobacteriaceae
Description: partial RtT sRNA
Rfam family: RtT RNA
About the family: This family represents a bacterial cis-regulatory element known as RtT RNA. The exact function of RtT is unknown although it is thought that it may be involved in changing the cellular response in relation to amino acid starvation.
Source: RNAcentral